UACGUAGGCAGCGAGCGUUGCUCGGAGUUACUGGGCGUAAAGAGUGCGUAGGCGGUGUUCCAAGUCUGUUGUGAAAUCUCCCGGCUCAACUGGGAGGGUGCGGCGGAAACUGGGACGCUGGAGUACGGGAGAGGUAAGCGGAAUUCCUGGUGUAGCGGUGAAAUGCGUAGAUAUCAGGAGGAACACCUGCGGUGUAGACGGCUUACUGGACCGUAACUGACGCUGAGGCACGAAAGCGUGGGUAGCAAACAGG
Molecule: ribosomal RNA, 253 nt
Filed under: uncultured bacterium
Lineage: Bacteria
Description: partial 16S ribosomal RNA
Rfam family: Bacterial small subunit ribosomal RNA
Source: RNAcentral